This 835-nucleotide unclassified non-coding RNA is filed under the name Hevea brasiliensis (rubber tree). Lineage: Eukaryota; Viridiplantae; Streptophyta; Magnoliopsida; Malpighiales; Euphorbiaceae. The record is from RNAcentral.
GCUGGAAAAUCAUAAAUUUCAAUACAAAAGUUAAGAUGAUGAACAGUCACCACGAUUUGAGGAAUUUGCCUCGUAUAAUAAGGCCUCAACAGAGAAUGCCUACUUAUUCCAAAUGUGCCACUAGAAGUUUCUAUCAACAUUUACAAAUUAAAAACCAUGAGUUACUGACCAUCUGCCGUCCUCUGCCCGUUANNNNNNNNNNUCAGUUGCAUAUUUUCACUUGGCAAGCUGUAUGAGGGAAUUUAUGGCCUCAAAUCCCAUGCAUACAUCAUCUUUAGGACUUUGGAUUGGGAGCCACCAGAGACACAGGCGGACUGUAAGCCACUAGACGCACGUCAAAUAAUUGUAGUAGAUCAUGCAGGUAUCAAUGAUUUUUUUGAGUGCACCAUGAGACCAAAUUAAAGAAUCACCUAACUCACCCACAUCCCUCUCUUGAAGUGUACCAGAGCAAGAAACUGCAAGAUUCAUCACACUGCUACCUUCUCUGAACACUCCUGUGAUGAGUUCUGUUUUUUCCUUCUCUCUAUAUAUUGUUUGAUGAGUGACUUGGGCCUCUCAAAACCAUCUUUCUGUUGCUGAGGCCUUGGUUUCCCUGCCUUCCUUGAUUCUGGUUUCCAGCGAGCUUGGAUGAGUGAUUGACCCAGUAAAUCAGCAAUUUCCGUUGCCAUUGUCUCAGCUUUCUUAACGUAUGGAAAAGUUUCCUCUUUAAAUUGAUGAGACAACCACAGAUACGUGGAAAGAACUUGAUGUUUAGUUUCGAGAUCUAGAAGCUCUGAGUCAUUCUGAGCAGAUCCCUUUGGCAUGCCCAUUGCUAUACCAACAGGGACCUUCUGAC